UUUUUUAUUUUCAAAUUUCUGAAUUAUCUUAACCUCUAAUCUCUAAUCACCACCCCUCAUCACUGCUCACCGGUUCUUGUGGCUGACCGGGACUAAAGGCCCGCCACGUGGGCGCCCGUGGUCCGUCGGGGCCGAGGACCUUUAGUCAAUUUUUUUUUAUUUUCAAAUUUCUGAAUUAUCUUAACCUCUAAUCUCUAAUCACCACCCCUCAUCACUGCUCAAUUUAUCCUCUAAUCUCUAAUCACCCCUCAUCAUUCCAAAUCAUCUAACUUCCCGAACGGUCACCCAUCCUCCCACUCCCCCAGCCUGAGCACGCUUAACUUCCGGGUUCUAUUCUCCCUCGUUUCCAAGUCUGCACUUGUUGUUUUCCUGACAAUAGUAGGAUGUCAAUUCUAUUAACCCUCAGGUAUUUAGCUUGAGCAUGAAGUGACACAUUUCACUGUUUGAGUUUGAAACUAUUAUUUUAAAAAACAGUAAUUAUUUAGUAACACUAAUAUUUCUGGAAUAAUUAGUUUGACCAUUUUUUGACCACAGUUUGACCACAGUUUGACCAGAUUUGACCAAAAUUUAAAAAAACUGGAAUAAUUAUUUAGUAACACUAAUGUUCUAGAAUAAUUAGUUUGACCAUUGUUUGACCACAGUUUGACCACAAUUUGAAAUUUUUUGAAUUUUUUUGCCUCUCCAGAACUUAAAAGCCCCGUAUCUUUUUUUCUGUUAGGUUUUUGGGGAUUCUAAAAAUGUUUAACGGGGUUCCCCCAGUUAAAUUCGGAUGUAACUUUUCGAAUAGAUGAUUUUUCAUAUAAAAAACUUUUUCAUCCGAGUUAGUAUGCAAAAGUUAUGCCCAUUUU
This 848-nucleotide long non-coding RNA is filed under the name Triticum aestivum (bread wheat). Its description in RNAcentral is "long non-coding RNA (TAES_LNC019994)". Lineage: Eukaryota; Viridiplantae; Streptophyta; Magnoliopsida; Poales; Poaceae. The record is from RNAcentral.